UCUCCGUUGGUGAACCAGCGGAGGGAUCAUUACAGGAUCGAAAGACUCCUAUAACCCCUGUGAACUCACUACAAAUACGUUGCUUCGGCGGGUGCCCCGGGUCUCCCGGGGCGUUCAGCCCGCCGGCAGCCUUCAAAUUCUGUUUCUUUGCGUUGGCAUCUCGAGUAUACAAAAAUAAGUUAAAACUUUCAACAACGGAUCUCUUGGUUCUG
This 212-nucleotide unclassified non-coding RNA is filed under the name plant metagenome. Its description in RNAcentral is "partial contains small subunit ribosomal RNA, internal transcribed spacer 1, and 5.8S ribosomal RNA". The record is from RNAcentral.